GACGAACGCUGGCGGCGUGCUUAACACAUGCAAGUCGAACGGAAAGGCCCUGCUUUUGUGGGGUGCUCGAGUGGCGAACGGGUGAGUAACACGUGAGUAACCUGCCCUUGACUUUGGGAUAACUUCAGGAAACUGGGGCUAAUACCGGAUAGGAGCUCCUGCUGCAUGGUGGGGGUUGGAAAGUUUCGGCGGUUGGGGAUGGACUCGCGGCUUAUCAGCUUGUUGGUGGGGUAGUGGCUUACCAAGGCUUUGACGGGUAGCCGGCCUGGGAGGGUGACCGGCCACAUUGGGACUGAGAUACGGCCCAGACUCCUACGGGAGGCAGCAGUGGGGAAUAUUGCACAAUGGGCGGAAGCCUGAUGCAGAAACGCCGCGUGCGGGAUGACGGGCUUCGGGUUGUAAACCGCUUUCGCCUGUGACGAAGCGUGAGUGACGGUAAUGGGUAAAGAAGCACCGGCUAACUACGUG
RNAcentral lists this ribosomal RNA (468 nucleotides) under uncultured bacterium. Its description in RNAcentral is "partial 16S ribosomal RNA". It matches the Rfam family "Bacterial small subunit ribosomal RNA", at positions 28 to 507 of the family's 1533-position model. The record is from RNAcentral.